GUAGUACUCCCUCCGUCCGAAAAAGUUUGUUCUAAGCUUAUUUCUCAAAUGGAUGUAUCUAGCAUUACUUGGUGCUAGAUCAUCCAUUUGAGGGACAAGCUUUUUCGGACGGAGGAAGUAUUUA
Triticum aestivum (bread wheat) is the source of this 124-nucleotide non-coding RNA. NCBI's taxonomy places the organism in Eukaryota, Viridiplantae, Streptophyta, Magnoliopsida, Poales, Poaceae. The record is from Rfam.